UAGUUGGUGGAGUGAUUUGUCUGGUUAAUUCCGUUAACGAACGAGACCUCAGCCUGCUAAAUAGUACUGUCAAUCUUCGGAUUGGUCAGCACUUCUUAGAGGGACUAUUGGUGAUUAGCCAGUGGAAGUAUGAGGCAAUAACAGG
This 145-nucleotide ribosomal RNA is filed under the name uncultured eukaryote. RNAcentral's name for it is "partial small subunit ribosomal RNA". It matches the Rfam family "Eukaryotic small subunit ribosomal RNA", at positions 1295 to 1460 of the family's 1831-position model. The record is from RNAcentral.